GUUUCAAUUCCUCAUAGGCAGGCUAUCGGCCCCAUUUUCAGGUAACGAUGACGGAUUGUCCUGCCGG
RNAcentral lists this small RNA (67 nucleotides) under Acididesulfobacillus acetoxydans. RNAcentral's name for it is "Peptococcaceae bacterium INE non-coding RNA". Lineage: Bacteria; Bacillati; Bacillota; Clostridia; Eubacteriales; Peptococcaceae. The record is from RNAcentral.